UAACGCGNGAGUAACCUGCCUUGGAGUGGGGAAUAACAGCUGGAAACAGCUGCUAAUACCGCAUAAUAUGUCUGUGUCGCNUGNNNCUGGANAUCANAGAUUUAUCGCUCUGAGAUGGACUCGCGNCUGAUUAGCUAGUUGGNGGGGCAACGGCCCACCAAGGCGACNAUCAGUAGCCGGACUGAGAGGUUGGCCGGCCACNUUGGNACUGAGACACGGCCCANACUCCUACNGGAGGCAGCNGUGGNGAAUAUUGGGCAAUGGGNGCAAGCCUGACCCAGCAACGCCGCGUGAAGGAAGAAGGNUUUCGGGUUGUAAACUUCUUUUCUCANGGACNAAGCAAGUGACGGNACCUGAGGAAUAAGCCACGGCUAACUACGUGCCAGCAGCCGCGGUAAUACGUAGGUGGCAAGCGUUAUCCGGAUUUACUGGGUGUAAAGGGCGUGUAGGCGGNAAAGCAAGUCAGAUGUGAAAACCACGGGCUCAACCUGUGGCCUGCAUUUGAAACUGUUUUUCUUGAGUACUGGAGAGGCAGACGGANUUCCUCGUGUAGCGGNGAAAUGCGUANAUAUGAGGAGGAACACCAGUGGCNAANGCGGUCUGCUGGACNGCAACUGACGCUGAGGCGCGAAAGCGUGGGGAGCAAACAGGAUUAGAUACCCUGNUAGUCCACGCUGUAACNAUGGAUACUAGGUGU
RNAcentral lists this ribosomal RNA (697 nucleotides) under uncultured bacterium. Its description in RNAcentral is "partial 16S ribosomal RNA". It matches the Rfam family "Bacterial small subunit ribosomal RNA", at positions 111 to 823 of the family's 1533-position model. The record is from RNAcentral.